This 253-nucleotide ribosomal RNA is filed under the name uncultured bacterium. Its description in RNAcentral is "partial 16S ribosomal RNA". It matches the Rfam family "Bacterial small subunit ribosomal RNA", at positions 524 to 776 of the family's 1533-position model. The record is from RNAcentral.
UACGUAGGGAGCAAGCGUUGUCCGGAAUCAUUGGGCGUAAAGCGCGCGUAGGUGGCCCCAUAAGUCCGCUGUGAAAGUCAAAGGCUCAACCUUUGAAAGCCGGUGGAUACUGUGGGACUAGAGUACGGAAGAGGCGAGUGGAAUUCCUGGUGUAGCGGUGGAAUGCGCAGAUAUCAUGAAGAACACCCGUGGCUAAGGCGGCUCUCUAGUACGGUACUGACGCUGAGACGCGAAAGCGUGGGGAGCGAACAGG